This 497-nucleotide ribosomal RNA is filed under the name uncultured bacterium. RNAcentral's name for it is "partial 16S ribosomal RNA". It matches the Rfam family "Bacterial small subunit ribosomal RNA", at positions 28 to 507 of the family's 1533-position model. The record is from RNAcentral.
GAUGAACGCUGGCGGCGUGCCUAAUACAUGCAAGUCGAGCGAACAGACGAGGAGCUUGCUCCUCUGACGUUAGCGGCGGACGGGUGAGUAACACGUGGAUAACCUACCUAUAAGACUGGGAUAAUUUCGGGAAACCGGAGCUAAUACCGGAUAAUAUAUUGAACCGCAUGGUUCAAUAGUGAAAGACGGUUUUGCUGUCACUUAUAGCUGGAUCCGCGCCGCAUUAGCUAGUUGGUAAGGUAACGGCUUACCAAGGCAACGAUGCGUAGCCGACCUGAGAGGGUGAUCGGCCACACUGGAACUGAGACACGGUCCAGACUCCUACGGGAGGCAGCAGUAGGGAAUCUUCCGCAAUGGGCGAAAGCUUGACGGAGCAACGCCGCGUGAGUGAUGAAGGUCUUCGGAUCGUAAAACUCUGUUAUUAGGGAAGAACAAAUGUGUAAGUAACUAUGCACGUCUUGACGGUACCUAAUCAGAAAGCCACGGCUAACUACGUG